UAGGGAAUCUUCGGCAAUGGGGGCAACCCUGACCGAGCAACGCCGCGUGAGUGAAGAAGGUUUUCGGAUCGUAAAGCUCUGUUGUAAGAGAAGAACGUGUGUGAGAGUGGAAAGUUCACACAGUGACGGUAACUUACCAGAAAGGGACGGCUAACUACGUGCCAGCAGCCGCGGUAAUACGUAGGUCCCGAGCGUUGUCCGGAUUUAUUGGGCGUAAAUCGAGCGCAGGCGGUUUAAUAAGUCUGAAGUUAAAGGCAGUGGCUUAACCAUUGUGCGCUUUGGAAACUGUUGAACUUGAGUGCAGAAGGGGAGAGUGGAGGUCCAUGUGUAGCGGUGAAAUGCGUAGAUAUAUGGAGGAACACCGGUGGCGAAAGCGGCUCUCUGGUCUGUAACUGACGCUGAGGCUCGAAAGCGUGGGGAGCAAACAGG
Molecule: ribosomal RNA, 429 nt
Filed under: bacterium
Lineage: Bacteria
Description: partial 16S ribosomal RNA
Rfam family: Bacterial small subunit ribosomal RNA
Source: RNAcentral